This 253-nucleotide ribosomal RNA is filed under the name uncultured bacterium. Its description in RNAcentral is "partial 16S ribosomal RNA". It matches the Rfam family "Bacterial small subunit ribosomal RNA", at positions 524 to 776 of the family's 1533-position model. The record is from RNAcentral.
GACGUAGGGGACGAGCGUUGUCCGGAUUCAUUGGGCGUAAAGCGCGCGUAGGCGGUUACGCAAGUCGGUUGUGAAAAUCCGGGGCUCAACCCCGGACCUGCAUCCGAUACUGCGUGACUAGAGGUAGGUAGGGGAGAUCGGAAUUCCUGGUGUAGCGGUGAAAUGCGUAGAUAUCGCUUGGAACGCCGAAGGUGAAAACAGGCUGCUGGGGUUGCGCCGACGCUGAGACACGAAAGCCAGGGGAGCAAACGGG